CACAACUGAAAAAGGAACUCAUACUGUUUCAUUUUGAAAUGCAUUAGAUAAAUUCUGUGGCAAUUUCCAACCUACAUUUGCUUCGCUGCAAGGUGAAUUUCUCUUUGUUUCAAAGAGAACAAUUCUCCCAUCUCUUUUUAUGACAGUGGUUUUGAUAUUGGAAAACUCAUUAUUCCCUUAAUCCUUUUUCUUAUAACCUGAAAUGUCAAACCCUUGGAUGACAUUGAACUGCCCACAUUUGCAUCUGUUUACACAGUGUUCAGGGAGCAGAUUGGAAUGAGUCAAGCUCAACCUCAAGGCUGAUGUUCAAUGAAGAGUUGGGGGUGGUGUUGCUACAGUCCAGUCCAGCCACUUUCACAUUCCAAAAUAAUACUUGUUAGUGUGUACAAGUUGUAUGCCACUGUUGCCCAGUAAUCAACUAAAAAUUUACCAGCUGUU
This is a long non-coding RNA of Lacerta agilis (Sand lizard), 438 nucleotides long. RefSeq lists it as uncharacterized. The transcript is spliced from 2 exons. Lineage: Eukaryota; Metazoa; Chordata; Lepidosauria; Squamata; Lacertidae. The record is from RefSeq and is a predicted model, not a curated record.